RNAcentral lists this ribosomal RNA (274 nucleotides) under uncultured bacterium. RNAcentral's name for it is "partial 16S ribosomal RNA". It matches the Rfam family "Bacterial small subunit ribosomal RNA", at positions 523 to 796 of the family's 1533-position model. The record is from RNAcentral.
AUACGGAGGGUGCGAGCGUUAAUCGGAAUUACUGGGCGUAAAGCGUACGUAGGCGGUUGGUUAAGUUAGAUGUGAAAGCCCCGGGCUUAACCUGGGAACUGCAUUUAAAACUGGCGAACUAGAGUUGAGUAGAGGGGAGUGGAAUUUCAGGUGUAGCGGCGAAAUGCGUAGAGAUCUGAAGGAACACCAGUGGCGAAGGCGACUCCCUGGACUCGAACUGACGCUGAGGUACGAAAGCGUGGGUAGCAAACGGGAUUAGAAACCCGGGUAGUCC